UGCAUCGGCCGGGAAUCAAACCCAGGCCGCCCGCGUGGCAGGCGAGCAUUCUACCACUGAAUCACCGAUGC
RNAcentral lists this transfer RNA (71 nucleotides) under Cordylochernes scorpioides. RNAcentral's name for it is "tRNA-Gly". Lineage: Eukaryota; Metazoa; Arthropoda; Arachnida; Pseudoscorpiones; Chernetidae. The record is from RNAcentral.